RNAcentral lists this long non-coding RNA (787 nucleotides) under Homo sapiens (human). RNAcentral describes it as "HSALNT0381190". Lineage: Eukaryota; Metazoa; Chordata; Mammalia; Primates; Hominidae. The record is from RNAcentral.
UCUAGUGGCAAGAGGGAACUGCCAAGGGAAAUCUGAGAGGAGGUGUUUACCCUGCGUAAACACCUUGCUGUUUAGCUUGGCAUCCCUAGAAGCAGACCCUGAGGACAGUGGGAAAAUGGAUUAUUAAGGAAGUGCUCCUGAGAGAAACCAGAAAGGGGGUGUAGGGAGCAAGGGAGGAUAAGGAGAAGACUCCAGUAAGGAUGAGAUUACUCAAGUCCCAUGGAAGACAGGUUAGCCUGAUCCUGCAGGGGAGCCCUGGAGGACUUAACAUCUCUGGAAAGCCAGAAAUCAGAGAUACAGAGAAGUAUUGAAAUGCUGAAAUGCUAUGAAUUUACUAUAAGAGAACAUUCUUCACUGAAGAGAUCUCUAGCUGCCAAAACACCCUUUCAUGCGUGAAAUACCGGGGCAAAGAGGAAGGAAAAGAGAAGAGUAUGACUCUAGGAACCAUGUUGCAGAAAUGCCAAAGGGUGGGACAAACAAAGUUACUAAUGUGGAGAAAGAAGAUUAUCAUGUGUGGAACGAAGGACAAUAUGAACAUUAAAUAAUGCCCUGACUCAUUCCAAAAAGAAUCUGAGAUGACCAAUAAAGCCAUUUUUAAUUGUUUAUUAGUGAACAAUAGAUUAUGAGUGCUAAAGGGAUUCAGGAAGAAGAAAGAUCAGUGCAGAGUAGAGAAGUCUGAUGGAUGCAUUGAAGAAGCUAUGCUUGAGCUGAAAUGACAAGAGAGCUGUUUUUCGCUUUCAGAAUUAUUAUGUGGCAAUGGUAAUUGACAACAGAGAAGCUGAAGGUA